UCCCUGAUAGUCCAGUGGCUAAGACGCUGAGCUCCAAAUGCAGGAGGUCUGGGUUCGAUCCCUGGUCAGGGAA
This 73-nucleotide transfer RNA is filed under the name Ovis aries (sheep). It matches the Rfam family "tRNA". From Rfam's summary of the family: Transfer RNA (tRNA) molecules are approximately 80 nucleotides in length. Their secondary structure includes four short double-helical elements and three loops (D, anti-codon, and T loops). Further hydrogen bonds mediate the characteristic L-shaped molecular structure. tRNAs have two regions of fundamental functional importance: the anti-codon, which is responsible for specific mRNA codon recognition, and the 3' end, to which the tRNAs corresponding amino acid is attached (by aminoacyl-tRNA synthetases). tRNAs cope with the degeneracy of the genetic code in two manners: having more than one tRNA (with a specific anti-codon) for a particular amino acid; and 'wobble' base-pairing, i.e. permitting non-standard base-pairing at the 3rd anti-codon position. The record is from Rfam by way of RNAcentral. Lineage: Eukaryota; Metazoa; Chordata; Mammalia; Artiodactyla; Bovidae.